UGUAAAGAUUGUUUCUGCAUCGACUACAUUCACUACAAUUUCUGGUUUCGCUACUGUUUCUAAUCCUAAAAUGAUUUAACUUUCUUUUAAUCCUAUCGAUGUUAAUUAUUUGGAGUUAAAAUCGUAGAAGGAUUAAGUUUUAGUUUCUAUGGCUCCGUUUGGGAAACAUUUAAUUUUAAGUCAUUUUUCCUAGCUACUGUUUUGAGAGAUCCAUUCUCCAUCAACUCGAAGGGCAACAGAAGAGAGUAGACUCGUUGAUUGCAACACUGCAAAGGUCAAUCUCCAGCAACCAUAUCCACUGGACUGAUGGCGGCCCUUGUGAACACCAUAUGUUUGUUGAUUUGUCUGCAUUGCCUUGUUAAUGUUUCAGUGCCAAUAACGGUAUCUCUGGUCCACCAUUUUUUAACCGUACGCAGGAAUCUAUCACUUGAAAAUAAAGCCUUAAUAAUAAGGACGCAAUAAAUUAAACAUUUAUUCCCAUUUGUUACCA
This is a long non-coding RNA of Hevea brasiliensis (rubber tree), 490 nucleotides long. RefSeq lists it as uncharacterized. The record is from RefSeq and is a predicted model, not a curated record. The transcript has 2 exons. Lineage: Eukaryota; Viridiplantae; Streptophyta; Magnoliopsida; Malpighiales; Euphorbiaceae.